GAAAAAUUUGGUGUUAAUUUAAUUAAAAUAAUAGGUAAAUAAUUUUGUUUUAGUAAAUAAAUUGAAAUAAUUAUUUGAAUUAUAUUAAUAAUUGUAAAAUAUAUUUUAUUUAAUAUUUUAAUUAUUUAAAAAGAUAAAUUUAAUUUUUGUACCUUUUGUAUCAGGGUUAAUUAAAAAUUUUUAAUUAAUAAUUAAAUAUUUCGAAAUUAAUUGAGUUAAAAUUUAAUAAUAGUUAAUAUUUUAUAUUUAUUAUAAAUUGAAUUUUAGAAAUUAUAUGUUAGGCAUAAUUAUUGAUAUCUAAUUAUUUAAUAAAUGAAUUUAAUUCAUUAAUUUAUUUGAUUUUAAAAAAUAUUUUUUUUAUUUAAUAAAUUAAAAAAUUUUAAGGGAUAAACUUUAAAAUUAAAAUUAUAAUAUUAAAUUAUUUUAUUUUAAAGUAUAAUUUAAAAUUUUAAUCUUUUUAAAGUUUUUAAUAAUUUAAAUUUAUAUAAAAAUGUAAUGUAUUAAUAAUUAAUUAAAGAUAUUUAAUUUUUUUAUUAAAUUUUAAAUUUUAAUAGUUUAUAUUUAAUAAUAAUGAUUAAAUUAGUAUAAAUCUAAAAUUUUAUUAAAUUAAUGAUUUUUAAAAUUAAGUUAAUGAAUUCGGCAAAUAUAAAUAUUUACCUGUUUAUUAAAAACAUGUCUUUAAGUAUAUAAUUUAAAGUCAAAUCUACUCAAUGAUUAAAAUUUAAUAGUUGCAAUAUUUUGAUUGUACAAAGGUAGCAUAAUGAUUUGUCUUUUAAUUGGAGAAUGGAAUGAAAGAUUAAAUAAAAUAUUAACUAUAUAAAAUUUAAUUUAUUAUAAAAAUUUAUUUUUAAGUAAAAAAUCUUAAAUUUAUUUAUUAGACGAUAAGACCCUAUAGAAUUUUAUAAAUAAUUUUUUAUUUAAUAAAAAGUUUAUUUAAAUUAUUUAUUUAAAUUAUUUAUUAUAUUGGGGGUAUAAAAAAAUUAAAUAAUUUUUUUAUAUAAAAAAAUAUUAAAUGGAUAAUUAUAUUUAAAAAAGAGUGUUUAAUUUAAAAUGUUAGAAUAAAUUACCUUAGGGAUAACAGCAUAAUUUUUUUGGAGAGAUCUUAUUGAUAAAAAAGAUUGUGACCUCGAUGUUGAAUUAAGAUAAAUAUUAAAAGAAGAAUUUUAAAUAAUUAAGUUUGUUCAACUUUUAAAAUCUUACAUGAUUUGAGUUAAAAUCGGUGUGAGCCAGAUUGGUUUUUAUCUAUAAUAAUUAUAAAAAAUAAUUGUACGAAAGGACUUUAUUUUUUAAAUUUUAAAAUAAUUAAAAUUUAUUGAAUUAAAUUAAUUAGAUAUAAAGAAUUUUUAUAAUAUCAU
This 1355-nucleotide ribosomal RNA is filed under the name Figites sp. ZJUH 20220010. RNAcentral describes it as "16S ribosomal RNA". Lineage: Eukaryota; Metazoa; Arthropoda; Insecta; Hymenoptera; Figitidae. The record is from RNAcentral.